GGUGCCCGUACCGCAAACCGACACAGGUAGGUAGGAAGAAGAUUCUAAGGCCAACGGGAGAAGGGUUGUUAAGGAACUCGGCAAAUUGACCCCGUAACUUCGGGAGAAGGGGUGCUCCAGAGAUGGAGCCGCAGAGAAUCGGCCCAAGCAACUGUUUACCAAAAACACAGGUUUGUGCUAAAUCGAAAGAUGACGUAUACGAGCUGACGCCUGCCCGGUGCUGGAAGGUUAAGAGGAGAUGUGCAAGCAUUGAAUCGAAGCCCCAGUGAACGGCGGCCGUAACUAUAACGGUCCUAAGGUAGCGAAAUUCCUUGUCAGGUAAGUUCUGACCCGCAUGAAAGGCGUAAUGAUUUGGGCACUGUCUCAACAGCCCGCCCGGCGAAAUUGUAGUACCGGUGAAGAUGCCGGUUACCCGCGACAAGACGGAAAGACCCCAUGGAGCUUUACUGUAGCCUAAUAUUGGGUUUCGAUGUUGCAUGCACAGGAUAGAUGGGACACUGGGAAACAAUCGCUUUGGCGGUUGCGGAGUGGCCGUUGGGAUACCAUCCUUGCGAUAUUGGAAUUCUAACCUGCGGCUCUGAAUCGAGUCGGGGGACAUUGUUAGGUGGGCAGUUUGACUGGGGCGGUCGCCUCCUAAAAAGUAACGGAGGCGUUCAAAGGUUCGCUCAGCUUGAACGGAAAUCAAGCAAAAGAGUGCAAACGCAGAAGCGAGCCUAACUGCGAGACUGACGGGUCGAGCAGUAACGAAAGUUGGAGUUAGUGAUCCGGUGGUAUGUGAGUGGAAAUGCCAUCGCUCAACGGAUAAAAGUUACCCUGGGGAUAACAGGCUGAUCUCCCCCAAGAGUCCACAUCGACGGGGAGGUUUGGCACCUCGAUGUCGGCUCAUCGCAUCCUGGGGCUGUAUUCGGUCCCAAGGGUUUGGCUGUUCGCCAAUUAAAGCGGUACGCGAGCUGGGUUCAGAACGUCGUGAGACAGUUCGGUCCCUAUCUGUCGUGGGCGCAGGAUAUUUGAUGGGAGCUGU
This 1021-nucleotide ribosomal RNA is filed under the name human gut metagenome. Its description in RNAcentral is "bacterial LSU rRNA". It matches the Rfam family "Bacterial large subunit ribosomal RNA", at positions 1637 to 2675 of the family's 2925-position model. The record is from RNAcentral.